This 448-nucleotide ribosomal RNA is filed under the name uncultured bacterium. RNAcentral describes it as "bacterial SSU rRNA". It matches the Rfam family "Bacterial small subunit ribosomal RNA", at positions 29 to 521 of the family's 1533-position model. The record is from RNAcentral.
AACGAACGCUGGCGGCAUGCCUAACACAUGCAAGUCGAACGAGACCUUCGGGUCUAGUGGCGCACGGGUGCGUAACGCGUGGGAAUCUGCCCUUCGGUUCGGAAUAACAGUUAGAAAUGACUGCUAAUACUGGAUGACGACGAAAGUCCAAAGAUUUAUCGCCGAGGGAUGAGCCCGCGUAGGAUUAGGUAGUUGGUGGGGUAAUGGCCUACCAAGCCGACGAUCCUUAGCUGGUCUGAGAGGAUGAUCAGCCACACUGGGACUGAGACACGGCCCAGACUCCUACGGGAGGCAGCAGUGGGGAAUAUUGGACAAUGGGCGAAAGCCUGAUCCGGCAAUGCCGCGUGAGUGAUGAAGGCCUUAGGGUUGUAAAGCUCUUUUACCCGGGACUGAUAAUGACAGUACCGGGAGAAUAAGCUCCGGCUAACUCCGUGCCAGCAGCCGCGGU